AAUAAUAAGAGAGGUCCGUAUCCGGCUAUAAUGUUAUCAAUAGCACCAGGCACUUGUGCUACCAAGUUUUCUACCGUUAGAUCAUCCUUUUUGACUAUUUCCAUCCGUUCGAUCAUACUAUUCAACCAACCACAUCCACUCAACCCUAGAGGACCAUUAUUAUUCGAACCGUAUAUCGCUUCAUCUAAGAGCUAAAAACUUAAUAGCACCAAAGAGGUCCCUAACUGGGGACCAAUUUGAAAAAAAAUAUAUGUUUAAU
RNAcentral lists this long non-coding RNA (259 nucleotides) under Ananas comosus (pineapple). RNAcentral's name for it is "long non-coding RNA (ACOM_LNC016113)". The record is from RNAcentral. Lineage: Eukaryota; Viridiplantae; Streptophyta; Magnoliopsida; Poales; Bromeliaceae.